This 253-nucleotide ribosomal RNA is filed under the name uncultured bacterium. Its description in RNAcentral is "partial 16S ribosomal RNA". It matches the Rfam family "Bacterial small subunit ribosomal RNA", at positions 524 to 776 of the family's 1533-position model. The record is from RNAcentral.
UACGGGGGGGGCAAGCGUUGUUCGGAAUUACUGGGCGUAAAGGGCUCGUAGGCGGCCAACUAAGUCAGACGUGAAAUCCCUCGGCUUAACCGGGGAACUGCGUCUGAUACUGGGUGGCUUGAGUUUGGGAGAGGGAUGCGGAAUUCCAGGUGUAGCGGUGAAAUGCGUAGAUAUCUGGAGGAACACCGGUGGCGAAGGCGGCAUCCUGGACCAACACUGACGCUGAGGAGCGAAAGCCAGGGGAGCAAACGGG